GGCCUCGUAGCGCAGCUGGUUGAGGGCAUGCGUAUACAAAACGAAGGCGGCGUCCAUGAGUGGGUUCGAAUCCCACCGAGUCUG
RNAcentral lists this transfer RNA (84 nucleotides) under Echinostoma caproni. It matches the Rfam family "tRNA". From Rfam's summary of the family: Transfer RNA (tRNA) molecules are approximately 80 nucleotides in length. Lineage: Eukaryota; Metazoa; Platyhelminthes; Trematoda; Plagiorchiida; Echinostomatidae. The record is from Rfam by way of RNAcentral.